GACGAACGUUGGCGGUGCGCUUAAUGCAUGCAAGUCGAGGGAGAACCAGUUGAUUCGUAAGAUUCAGCUGGGGAAACCGGCGAACGGGUGCGUAACACGUGAGGAACCUGCCCCGAAGACCGGGAUAGCCCGAGGAAACUCGGAUUAAUACCGGAUACCCUCUUUGGACCACAUGGUCUAUUGAGGAAAUGGUCCGCCGCUUCGGGAUGGCCUCGCGGCCUAUCAGCUUGUUGGUGAGGUAAUGGCUCACCAAGGCCGAGACGGGUAGCUGGUCUGAGAGGACGAUCAGCCACACUGGGACUGAGACACGGCCCAGACUCCUACGGGAGGCAGCAGCAGGGAAUAUUGCACAAUGGGCGGAAGCCUGAUGCAGCGACACCGCGUGCGGGAUGAAGGCCUUCGGGUUGUAAACCGCUUUCAGGAGGGACGAAAAUGACGGUACCUCCAGAAGAAGGCCCGGCCAACUACGUGCCAGCAGCCGCGGUAAUACGUAGGGGCCAAACGUUGUCCGGAUUUAUUGGGCGUAAAGGGCUCGCAGGCGGUUCAACAAGUCGAUCGUGAAAGCCCGGGGCUCAACCCCGGGACGCCGGUCGAAACUGUUGUGACUUGAGUUCGGUAGAGGUGAGUGGAAUUCUCGGUGUAGCGGUGGAAUGCGCAGAUAUCGAGAGGAACACCCGUAGCGAAGGCGGCUCACUGGGCCGAUACUGACGCUGAGGAGCGAAAGCAUGGGGAGCAAACAGGAUUAGAUACCUGGUAGUCCAUGCCGUAAACGAUGAACACUAGGUGUAGCGGAUUGAUUCAUGUCUG
This 807-nucleotide ribosomal RNA is filed under the name uncultured bacterium. RNAcentral's name for it is "bacterial SSU rRNA". It matches the Rfam family "Bacterial small subunit ribosomal RNA", at positions 28 to 840 of the family's 1533-position model. The record is from RNAcentral.